GCACCCCCCUCGGCCAGGAAUCCUUUUGUCUCUACUUUUCCUUUCAUCUAUCGCCGUCUUGGGUCUUGCUUUUACUCCAAAUCCGAUUUGGCCGUUGGUUGCUAAGCUUCUCCCUCCUCGC
Molecule: non-coding RNA, 121 nt
Filed under: Heterosigma akashiwo
Lineage: Eukaryota; Raphidophyceae; Chattonellales; Chattonellaceae
Source: RNAcentral